This 185-nucleotide unclassified non-coding RNA is filed under the name uncultured fungus. Its description in RNAcentral is "sequence contains ITS1, 5.8S rRNA gene". Lineage: Eukaryota; Fungi. The record is from RNAcentral.
CAUGAUUACCUUUUCAACAAACUGUGAACUUUAAAUUUUACUAUUCGUGUACGAAUAACUUUUAGUUAUUUGAUACACUGUCAUUCGAUGAACAUUAGAUAGCUGGCUUGUUUUCAACAAACUUUCUCAGCUGAUUGUUUUGUACUGACUAAACAUCUUACAACAAUCACCAAUAAACAUAGUAA